GAUGAACGCUGGCGGCGUGCCUAAUACAUGCGAGUCGAGCGAACGGACGAGAAGCUUGCUUCUCUGAUGUUAGCGGCGGACGGGUGAGUAACACGUGGAUAACCUACCUAUAAGACUGGGAUAACUUCGGGAAACCGGAGCUAAUACCGGAUAAUAUUUUGAACCGCAUGGUUCAAAAGUGAAAGACGGUCUUGCUGUCACUUAUAGAUGGAUCCGCGCUGCAUUAGCUAGUUGGUAAGGUAACGGCUUACCAAGGCAACGAUGCAUAGCCGACCUGAGAGGGUGAUCGGCCACACGGGGACUGAGACACGGUCCAGACUCCUACGGGAGGCAGCAGUAGGGAAUCUUCCGCAAUGGGCGAAAGCCUGACGGAGCAACGCCGCGUGAGUGAUGAAGGUCUUCGGAUCGUAAAACUCUGUUAUUAGGGAAGAACAUAUGUGUAAGUAACUGUGCACAUCUUGACGGUACCUAAUCAGAAAGCCACGGCUAACUACGUG
RNAcentral lists this ribosomal RNA (497 nucleotides) under uncultured bacterium. RNAcentral describes it as "partial 16S ribosomal RNA". It matches the Rfam family "Bacterial small subunit ribosomal RNA", at positions 28 to 507 of the family's 1533-position model. The record is from RNAcentral.